This 1388-nucleotide ribosomal RNA is filed under the name metagenome. Its description in RNAcentral is "bacterial LSU rRNA". It matches the Rfam family "Bacterial large subunit ribosomal RNA", at positions 1548 to 2925 of the family's 2925-position model. The record is from RNAcentral.
CUGCUUAGAUGAGGCGUGAUAACGAGUGGCCUUGUGCCGCGAAGUGAUUGAUACCAUGCUUCCAAAAAGCCUCUAAGCUUCAGUUACAAAGAGACCGUACCGCAAACCGACACAGGUGGGCAGGAUGAGAAUUCUAAGGCGCUUGAGAGGACUCAGGAGAAGGAACUCGGCAAAUUAGCACCGUAACUUCGGGAGAAGGUGCGCCCUGGUAGCGUGAAAGCCCUCGCGGCUGGAGCGUGAAAGGGUUGCAGUGAAAUGGUGGCUGCGACUGUUUAAUAAAAACACAGCACUCUGCAAACACGAAAGUGGACGUAUAGGGUGUGACGCCUGCCCGGUGCCGGAAGGUUAAGUGAUGGGGUGCAAGCUCUUGAUCGAAGCCCCGGUAAACGGCGGCCGUAACGAUAACGGUCCUAAGGUAGCGAAAUUCCUUGUCGGGUAAGUUCCGACCUGCACGAAUGGCGUAACGAUGGCCACACUGUCUCCUCCUGAGACUCAGCGAAGUUGAAAUGUUUGUGAAGAUGCAAUCUCCCCGCGGCAAGACGGAAAGACCCCAUGAACCUUUACUGUAGCUUUGCAUUGGACUUUGAACCGGUCUGUGUAGGAUAGGUGGGAGGCUUUGAAGCUGGGACGCUAGUUCUGGUGGAGCCAACCUUGAAAUACCACCCUGGUUUGUUUGAGGUUCUAACCAUGGCCCGUGAAUCCGGGUUUGGGACCGUGCAUGGUAGGCAGUUUGACUGGGGCGGUCUCCUCCCAAAGUGUAACGGAGGAGUACGAAGGUACGCUAGGUACGGUCGGACAUCGUGCUAAUAGUGCAAUGGCAUAAGCGUGCUUGACUGCGAGACCCACAAGUCGAGCAGGUACGAAGGUAGGUCAUAGUGAUCCGGUGGUUCUGUAUGGAAGGGCCAUCGCUCAACGGAUAAAAGGUACUCUGGGAUAACAGGCUGAUACCGCCCAAGAGUUCAUAUCGACGGCGGUGUUUGGCACCUCGAUGUCGGCUCAUCACAUCCUGGGGCUGUGGCCGGUCCCAAGGGUAUGGCUGUUCGCCAUUUAAAGUGGUACGUGAGCUGGGUUUAAAACGUCGUGAGACAGUUUGGUCCCUAUCUGCCGUGGGCGCUGGAAAUUUGAAGGGACCUGCUCCUAGUACGAGAGGACCGGAGUGGACGAACCUCUGGUGUACCGGUUAUGACGCCAGUCGUAUCGCCGGGUAGCUAAGUUCGGAAGAGAUAAACGCUGAAAGCAUCUAAGCGUGAAACUCGCCUUAAGAUAAGAUUUCCCUGGGGACUUGAUCCCCCUGAAGGGUCGUCGAAGACCACGACGUUGAUAGGCUGGGUGUGGAAGCGCAGCAAUGCGUUAAGCUAACCAGUACUAAUUGCCCGUGCGGCUUGAUC